GAUGAACGCUGGCGGCGUGCCUAAUACAUGCAAGUCGAGCGAACAGACGAGGAGCUUGCUCCUCUGACGUUAGCGGCGGACGGGUGAGUAACACGUGGAUAACCUACCUAUAAGACUGGGAUAACUUCGGGAAACCGGAGCUAAUACCGGAUAAUAUAUUGAACCGCAUGGUUCAAUAGUGAAAGACGGUUUUGCUGUCACUUAUAGAUGGAUCCGCGCCGCAUUAGCUAGUUGGUAAGGUAACGGCUUACCAAGGCAACGAUGCGUAGCCGACCUGAGAGGGUGAUCGCCCACCUGGGAAGGGGGACGGGGACCAGGGGCCGAGGGGAGGGCGCAGUAGGGAACUGGCGGCAGUGGGGGAAAUCCUGCAGGAGGAGCGGCGGGGUGAUGAAGAAGUUCUGCGGGUGGGAAAACUGUGUUAUGGGGGAAAAACAAAUGCGCAGGUAACUAAGCGGGUGUGACGGUAACGGAUAAAGAAGCCCAGGGUAACUACGUG
This 496-nucleotide ribosomal RNA is filed under the name uncultured bacterium. RNAcentral's name for it is "partial 16S ribosomal RNA". It matches the Rfam family "Bacterial small subunit ribosomal RNA", at positions 28 to 507 of the family's 1533-position model. The record is from RNAcentral.